AGUGAACGCUGGCGGUAGGCCUAACACAUGCAAGUCGAACGGCAGCACAGUAAGAGCUUGCUCUUACGGGUGGCGAGUGGCGGACGGGUGAGGAAUACAUCGGAAUCUACUUUUUCGUGGGGGAUAACGUAGGGAAACUUACGCUAAUACCGCAUACGACCUACGGGUGAAAGCAGGGGAUCUUCGGACCUUGCGCGAUUGAAUGAGCCGAUGUCGGAUUAGCUAGUUGGCGGGGUAAAGGCCCACCAAGGCGACGAUCCGUAGCUGGUCUGAGAGGAUGAUCAGCCACACUGGAACUGAGACACGGUCCAGACUCCUACGGGAGGCAGCAGUGGGGAAUAUUGGACAAUGGGCGCAAGCCUGAUCCAGCCAUACCGCGUGGGUGAAGAAGGCCGUCGGGUUGUAAAGCCCUUUUGUUGGGAAAGAAAAGCAGCAGGUUAAUACCCCGCUGUUCUGACGGUACCCAAAGAAUAAGCACCGGCUAACUGCG
This 490-nucleotide ribosomal RNA is filed under the name uncultured bacterium. Its description in RNAcentral is "partial 16S ribosomal RNA". It matches the Rfam family "Bacterial small subunit ribosomal RNA", at positions 29 to 505 of the family's 1533-position model. The record is from RNAcentral.